RNAcentral lists this signal recognition particle RNA (212 nucleotides) under Candidatus Aciduliprofundum sp. Its description in RNAcentral is "Aciduliprofundum sp. partial signal recognition particle sRNA". It matches the Rfam family "Archaeal signal recognition particle RNA", at positions 1 to 218 of the family's 317-position model. Lineage: Archaea; Methanobacteriati; Thermoplasmatota. The record is from RNAcentral.
UGCCGGGCUAGGCCGGGGGGUUCGGCGUCCCCUGUGACCCGAAAGCGCCGACAUGCGGGGGCGACGGCCGGAUGAGGGGUACCGAGGGUCCCCGUCGCCGCCGCGGAACGAUGACGCUCCGUCCCUCGGGGCCCGGGGACGGGUGGGGCGCCGCCGGAGGGCGGCGCUCCCCCGCUCGCCGCGGGGAACGGGCCAGGCCCGGAAGGGAGCAG